GAGUGCGGUAGGGGAGAUUGGAAUUCCUGGUGUAGCGGUGGAAUGCGCAGAUAUCAGGAGGAACACCGAUGGCGAAGGCAGAUCUCUGGGCCGUAACUGACGCUGAGGAGCGAAAAGCGUGGGGAGCGAACAGGAUUAGAUACCCUGGUAGUCCACGCCGUAAAACGGUGGGAACUAGAUGUGGGGUCCGUUCCACGGAUUCCGUGUCGCAGCUAACGCAUUAAGUUCCCCGCCUGGGGAGUACGGCCGCAAGGCUAAAACUCAAAGGAAUUGACGGGGGCCCGCACAAGCGGCGGAGCAUGCGGAUUAAUUCGAUGCAACGCGAAGAACCUUACCAAGGCUUGACAUAUAGAGGAAAAGUGCAGAGAUGCACUCCCCGCAAGGUCUCUAUACAGGUGGUGCAUGGUUGUCGUCAGCUCGUGUCGUGAGAUGUUGGGUUAAGUCCCGCAACGAGCGCAACCCUCGUCCUAUGUUGCCAGCACGUAAAGGUGGGAACUCAUGGGAGACUGCCGGGGUCAACUCGGAGGAAGGUGGGGAUGACGUCAAAUCAUCAUGCCCCUUAUGUCUUGGGCUUCACGCAUGCUACAAUGGCCGGUACAGAGGGCUGCAAUACCGCAAGGUGGAGCGAAUCCCAGAAAGCCGGUCUCAGUUCGGAUUGAGGUCUGCAACUCGACCUCAUGAAGUCGGAGUCGCUAGUAAUCGCGAAUCAGCAACGUCGCGGUGAAUACGUUCCCGGGCCUUGUACACACCGCCCGUCAAGUCAUGAAAGUCGGUAACACCCGAAGCCGGUGGCCCAACCUUUUGGAGGGAGCCGUCGAAGGUGGGAUCGGUGAUUAGGACUAAGUCGUAACAAGGU
RNAcentral lists this ribosomal RNA (856 nucleotides) under uncultured bacterium. RNAcentral's name for it is "bacterial SSU rRNA". It matches the Rfam family "Bacterial small subunit ribosomal RNA", at positions 644 to 1497 of the family's 1533-position model. The record is from RNAcentral.